UAUCCAGACUCCUACGGGAGGCAGCAGUGGGGAAUAUUGCACAAUGGGGGAAACCCUGAUGCAGCGACGCCGCGUGAGCGAUGAAGUAUUUCGGUAUGUAAAGCUCUAUCAGCAGGGAAGAAGAUGACGGUACCUGACUAAGAAGCCCCGGCUAACUACGUGCCAGCAGCCGCGGUAAUACGUAGGGGGCAAGCGUUAUCCGGAUUUACUGGGUGUAAAGGGAGCGUAGACGGCGAUGCAAGCCAGAUGUGAAAGCCCGGGGCUCAACCCCGGGACUGCAUUUGGAACUGUGUGGCUGGAGUGUCGGAGAGGCAGGCGGAAUUCCUAGUGUAGCGGUGAAAUGCGUAGAUAUUAGGAGGAACACCGGCGGCGAAGGCGGCCUGCUGGACCGCGACUGACGUUGAGGCUCGAAAGCGUGGGGAGCGAACAGGAUUAGAUACCCCUGUAAG
This 449-nucleotide ribosomal RNA is filed under the name uncultured bacterium. RNAcentral's name for it is "bacterial SSU rRNA". It matches the Rfam family "Bacterial small subunit ribosomal RNA", at positions 328 to 793 of the family's 1533-position model. The record is from RNAcentral.